This is a long non-coding RNA of Rhododendron vialii, 971 nucleotides long. RefSeq lists it as uncharacterized. Lineage: Eukaryota; Viridiplantae; Streptophyta; Magnoliopsida; Ericales; Ericaceae. The transcript is spliced from 2 exons. The record is from RefSeq and is a predicted model, not a curated record.
AAUAAUUUUUCUGUGUUGUGAUGCAUACGUUCGACUUGACAUGUACAUUCACAUGGGAGAAAGCCAAACACAGUAUCCUUUUUCCUUCUUGUCUUCUUUUCUCUACAUUUUAAAACUAUGCAGUAUAUAACGGAAGGAUUCCAACGUCUUGCUGUCGAUUAGAUUUGGGGAUCUGUAUGUCCUGGUAAAUAUGACCUCCUUUCACUACUGGAAAAAUAUAUGCGAUGAUAGUGGUGUGGCUAUCGAGCUAGCUGAUGGUUCAGCAAUGUUUGACUCAUGAAGCUUUGGUCUUCGUUUGCUUUUUUUUCUUGGGUUUGUGACUUUUGGUGGUGUCUUUUUUCUUUUUUUCUUUCGUGUUUUUGCAGUUUCUAUUUAUUUGAUGUGGCUCUUUUGGUUUGGUCACUCAGUUGCACACUCCUUCAAUCAUGGUGUUGCUUAUAUGAGAUCUCUAUUGGUUCUGUUGAGUUAUUUGCUGUGGUUUUUUGGUGUGUCCUUACUGCUGCUAAUCCUAUUGGUCAAGGUGCCCCUACCCUUUGUUUCUUGCUAGUCUUACCUCAGCUUCUACACAUUAGUUGGUCAUGGUAUGGCUGCAUCUGAGAUUGUUCUUGGCCCUGCUCAUUUGUACUUGGGAAAAAACAAACCUACACACUUAGUCCUUUAGUCUUAUCUUAUUUUUUAAAAAUAUAGUCUUAUCUUAUUGAUGUCUGUCUUUUUGAGUUGUAUUGUUUAAGACUCUUAUUUUUGCUGUGCACAAAAUGAAUAAAAGAAGCAAUGCUGAUUACAGAGGACAAAUUUUGAUUGGGUUGCACAAUAGCGUCGCCUAAAUUGUUUAUCAAUCGACAUCUGUAUAGGUUUAUUAAAACUAGCAUAUGUAGUGAAUUAUUUUCUUUCUUUGGAUAUCUUUUUUUCGCAUAUCGACAUUUGUAUCUUGACUUUGUUACGUCAAGUUUUCACAUUAUCUUUUGAUGCAA